This 809-nucleotide small RNA is filed under the name uncultured Davidiella. RNAcentral describes it as "eukaryotic LSU rRNA". The stretch from base 533 to 809 matches the Rfam family "Eukaryotic large subunit ribosomal RNA", at positions 1 to 281 of the family's 3401-position model. Lineage: Eukaryota; Fungi; Ascomycota; Dothideomycetes; Cladosporiales; Cladosporiaceae. The record is from RNAcentral.
CUUGGUCAUUUAGAGGAAGUAAAAGUCGUAACAAGGUUUCCGUAGGUGAACCUGCGGAGGGAUCAUUACAAGUGACCCCGGUCUAACCACCGGGAUGUUCAUAACCCUUUGUUGUCCGACUCUGUUGCCUCCGGGGCGACCCUGCCUUCGGGCGGGGGCUCCGGGUGGACACUUCAAACUCUUGCGUAACUUUGCAGUCUGAGUAAACUUAAUUAAUAAAUUAAAACUUUUAACAACGGAUCUCUUGGUUCUGGCAUCGAUGAAGAACGCAGCGAAAUGCGAUAAGUAAUGUGAAUUGCAGAAUUCAGUGAAUCAUCGAAUCUUUGAACGCACAUUGCGCCCCCUGGUAUUCCGGGGGGCAUGCCUGUUCGAGCGUCAUUUCACCACUCAAGCCUCGCUUGGUAUUGGGCAACGCGGUCCGCCGCGUGCCUCAAAUCGACCGGCUGGGUCUUCUGUCCCCUAAGCGUUGUGGAAACUAUUCGCUAAAGGGUGUUCGGGAGGCUACGCCGUAAAACAACCCCAUUUCUAAGGUUGACCUCGGAUCAGGUAGGGAUACCCGCUGAACUUAAGCAUAUCAAUAAGCGGAGGAAAAGAAACCAACAGGGAUUGCUCUAGUAACGGCGAGUGAAGCAGCAAUAGCUCAAAUUUGAAAUCUGGCUUUCGGGCCCGAGUUGUAAUUUGUAGAGGAUGAUUUUGAUGCGGUGCCUUCCGAGUUCCCUGGAACGGGACGCCAUAGAGGGUGAGAGCCCCGUCUGGUUGGAUGCCAAAUCUCUGUAAAUCUCCUUCGACGAGUCGAGUUGUUUGGGAAU